Molecule: long non-coding RNA, 628 nt
Organism: Centruroides sculpturatus (bark scorpion)
Lineage: Eukaryota; Metazoa; Arthropoda; Arachnida; Scorpiones; Buthidae
Exons: 3
Source: RefSeq, a predicted model, not a curated record
GCAGACGACAAAUCGAAGCAACAGGGUUUCCAUGUUGGUUAAGUUUUGAUUUUACUGUAAAAAGAAAAACAAAAAAGAACCUAAUGACGGACACAGCAAGCCAUUUUAGCAGGUAACUUGUUACGUACGAUAUAAAGAGUUGUCUGAAAAUUGAGGAACAUCUUAUAAUGAAAUUUAAAGCUAUUAUACAGUACGACAGAGGGGAAAUAUGACGAUUGGUCAAAAAAUUACUCCCAAUAUUUGGGAUAGGAAAACCUCGAAACGUCGAGAAAUGAAAGAAAAAAAUUGCAGGGUUUUCUAUAUAUAUAUGGAGAUGCAUGAUUUUUUCACCUAUUUUAAAAGGUUAAUAACUCCUGUGUUUUUUGUCGAAAAUUUCUGAAAUUUUGCAGAGAGGUUUGCGUAUUUAGAAGGAAGUUUUUACGGAAGUUUUCAGGAAAAUCGGACCAUUUGUUCGAGAGAUAAUAACGAGGUCGAUAAAAUAUCCCCAGAGAGACAGAAUUAAUGAGGCCAACUACAGAUAGAGUAAGUUUCUCUUACAUAUAUUGACUAACAAAUCUAUAUAUUUUUUGAUUUUACUAAAUUAAUGGUUUCUUAUAUUAACUAAAUAAAAGUUCGAACCGUUAUUUUU